RNAcentral lists this unclassified non-coding RNA (1090 nucleotides) under uncultured Acephala. Its description in RNAcentral is "sequence contains ITS1, 5.8S rRNA gene and ITS2". The stretch from base 185 to 338 matches the Rfam family "5.8S ribosomal RNA". Lineage: Eukaryota; Fungi; Ascomycota; Leotiomycetes; Helotiales. The record is from RNAcentral.
UUAUUCAGAGCUAUGACUGUGCGAACAGAGUCAAACGGUGGGUAGACGGUUUACACCCACCCGUGUCUAUAUACUCUCCCCCUUUAGGCGGGCCGUGGCCUCCACUGCGGGCUCUGCUCGCGCCUGCCCGCCAGAGAACCAAACUCUGAAUGUUAGUGAUGUCUGAGUACUAUAUAAUAGUUAAAACUUUCAACAACGGAUCUCUUGGUUCUGGCAUCGAUGAAGAACGCAGCGAAAUGCGAUAAGUAAUGUGAAUUGCAGAAUUCAGUGAAUCAUCGAAUCUUUGAACGCACAUUGCGCCCUGUGGUAUUCCGCAGGGCAUGCCUGUUCGAGCGUCAUUUAACCAAUCAAGCCUAGCUUGGUAUUGGGGCACGUGGUUCCGCGGCCCUCAAAAUCAGUGGCGGCGCCGGUGGGCUCUAAGCGUAGUACAUACUCCCGCUAUAGAGUUCCCCCGGUCGCUCGCUAGAACCCCCUCAUUUUUACAGGUUGACCUCGGAUCAGGUAGGGAUACCCGCUGAACUUAAGCAUAUCAAUAAGGCGGAGGAUUAUUCAGAGCUAUGACUGUGCGAACAGAGUCAAACGGUGGGUAGACGGUUUACACCCACCCGUGUCUAUAUACUCUCCCCCUUUAGGCGGGCCGUGGCCUCCACUGCGGGCUCUGCUCGCGCCUGCCCGCCAGAGAACCAAACUCUGAAUGUUAGUGAUGUCUGAGUACUAUAUAAUAGUUAAAACUUUCAACAACGGAUCUCUUGGUUCUGGCAUCGAUGAAGAACGCAGCGAAAUGCGAUAAGUAAUGUGAAUUGCAGAAUUCAGUGAAUCAUCGAAUCUUUGAACGCACAUUGCGCCCUGUGGUAUUCCGCAGGGCAUGCCUGUUCGAGCGUCAUUUAACCAAUCAAGCCUAGCUUGGUAUUGGGGCACGUGGUUCCGCGGCCCUCAAAAUCAGUGGCGGCGCCGGUGGGCUCUAAGCGUAGUACAUACUCCCGCUAUAGAGUUCCCCCGGUCGCUCGCUAGAACCCCCUCAUUUUUACAGGUUGACCUCGGAUCAGGUAGGGAUACCCGCUGAACUUAAGCAUAUCAAUAAGGCGGAGGA